AGUCAUAUGCUUGUCUCAAAGAUUAAGCCAUGCAUGUCUAAGUACAAACUAUAUUAAAGUGAAACCGCGAAAGGCUCAUUAAAUCAGUUAUGGUUCCUUAGAUCGUACCACAAUUACUUGGAUAACUGUGGUAAUUCUAGAGCUAAUACAUGCAAACAGAGCUCUGACCGGAGACGGAAGGAGUGCUUUUAUUAGAUCAAAACCAAUCGGCGGCGGUAGCGUUUCGGCGUUAUCGUUUGUCGCUCAAUAAAUGGUGAAUCUGAAUAACUUUAUGCUGAUCGCAUGGUCUUGUACCGGCGACGCAUCUUUCAAAUGUCUGCCUUAUCAACUGUCGAUGGUAGGAUCUGCGCCUACCAUGGUUGUAACGGGUAACGGGGAAUCAGGGUUCGAUUCCGGAGAGGGAGCCUGAGAAACGGCUACCACAUCCAAGGAAGGCAGCAGGCGCGCAAAUUACCCACUCCCGGCACGGGGAGGUAGUGACGAAAAAUAACGAUACGGGACUCAUCCGAGGCCCCGUAAUCGGAAUGAAUACACUUUAAAUCCUUUAAUGAGGACCAAUUGGAGGGCAAGUCUGGUGCCAGCAGCCGCGGUAAUUCCAGCUCCAAUAGCGUAUAUUAAAGUUGUUGCGGUUAAAAAGCUCGUAGUUGUAUUUGUGUCCCGCACUGUCGGUUCACCGCCCGCGGUGCUAACUGGCAUGUUUGCGGGACGUCCUGCCGGUGGAUGUAAGUGAUUUACUUACGGGUCUAUCACACAUCCGACUUAUGAAUCCUGUCGCGGUGCUCUUAACUGAGUGUCGAGGCGGGCCGGCACAUUUACUUUGAACAAAUUAAAGUGCUCAAAGCAGGCUAAUUAAUGCCUGAAUAAUUAGUGCAUGGAAUAAUAGAACAGGACCUUGGUUCUAUUUUGUUGGUUUUCGGAACUCCAAGGUAAUGAUUAAUAGGGACAGAUGGGGGCAUUCGUAUUGCGACGUUAGAGGUGAAAUUCUUGGAYCGUCGCAAGACGGACUAAAGCGAAAGCAUUUGCCAAAGAUGUUUUCAUUAAUCAAGAACGAAAGUCAGAGGCUCGAAGGCGAUCAGAUACCGCCCUAGUUCUGACCAUAAACGAUGCCAGCUAGCGAUCCGCCAAAGUUCCUCCGAUGACUUGGCGGGCAGCUUCCGGGAAACCAAAGCUUUUGGGUUCCGGGGGAAGUAUGGUUGCAAAGCUGAAACUUAAAGGAAUUGACGGAAGGGCACCACCAGGAGUGGAGCCUGCGGCUUAAUUUGACUCAACACGGGGAACCUCACCAGGCCCAGACACUGGAAGGAUUGACAGAUUGAGAGCUCUUUCUUGAUUCAGUGGGUGGUGGUGCAUGGCCGUUCUUAGUUGGUGAAGUGAUUUGUCUGGUUAAUUCCGAUAACGAACGAGACUCUAGCCUACUAAAUAGACGUUACACUUUCCAGUAUCUCGAAGGCUCACAUCUCUCGUUUCUCUACUGCAUACCACACUAAUGCAUUUUGGUUGGUUUGUGGUGGGUCGGGAGUUUGUGGUUUUUACUACUGGCGUACAUAUAAAUCUUCUUAGAGGGACAGGCAGCUUCUAGUUGCACGAGAUUGAGCAAUAACAGGUCUGUAAUGCCCUUAGAUGUUCUGGGCCGCACGCGCGCUACACUGAAGGAAUCAGCGUGUCUUCCCUGGCCGAAAGGUCCGGGUAACCCGCUGAACCUCCUUCGUGCUAGGGAUUGGGGCUUGCAAUUAUUCCCCAUGAACGAGGAAUUCCCAGUAAGCGUGAGUCAUCAACUCACGUUGAUUACGUCCCUGCCCUUUGUACACACCGCCCGUCGCUACUACCGAUUGAAUGAUUUAGUGAGGUCUUCGGACUGGUACGCGGUGAUGUUACCACAUUACCGAUGUCGCUGGGAAGAUGACCAAACUUGAUUAUUUAGAGGAAGUAAAAGUCGUAACAAGGUUCC
RNAcentral lists this ribosomal RNA (1948 nucleotides) under Amara aenea. RNAcentral describes it as "SSU rRNA". It matches the Rfam family "Eukaryotic small subunit ribosomal RNA". The record is from RNAcentral. Lineage: Eukaryota; Metazoa; Arthropoda; Insecta; Coleoptera; Carabidae.